GUAACAAGGUCUCCGUAGGUGAACCUGCGGAGGGAUCAUUACACAAAUAUGAAGGCGGGCUGGAACCUCUCGGGGUUACAGCCUUGCUGAAUUAUUCACCCUUGUCUUUUGCGUACUUCUUGUUUCCUUGGUGGGUUCGCCCACCACUAGGACAAACAUAAACCUUUUGUAAUUGCAAUCAGCGUCAGUAACAAAUUAAUAAUUACAACUUUCAACAACGGAUCUCUUGGUUCUGGCAUCGAUGAAGAACGCAGCGAAAUGCGAUAAGUAGUGUGAAUUGCAGAAUUCAGUGAAUCAUCGAAUCUUUGAACGCACAUUGCGCCCUUUGGUAUUCCAAAGGGCAUGCCUGUUCGAGCGUCAUUUGUACCCUCAAGCUUUGCUUGGUGUUGGGCGUCUUGUCUCUAGCUUUGCUGGAGACUCGCCUUAAAGUAAUUGGCAGCCGGCCUACUGGUUUCGGAGCGCAGCACAAGUCGCACUCUCUAUCAGCAAAGGUCUAGCAUCCAUUAAGCCUUUUUUUCAACUUUGACCGGAU
Molecule: ribosomal RNA, 532 nt
Filed under: Alternaria alternata
Lineage: Eukaryota; Fungi; Ascomycota; Dothideomycetes; Pleosporales; Pleosporaceae
Description: eukaryotic LSU rRNA
Rfam family: 5.8S ribosomal RNA (bases 207-360)
Source: RNAcentral